UACAGAGGUCCCAGGCGUUGUUCGGAUUCACUGGGCGUAAAGGGUGCGUAGGUGGCCAGGUAAGUUUGGUGUGAAAGCUCGGAGCUUAACUCCGAAAAGUCAUUGAAUACUAUCUGGCUGGAGGGUCGGAGGGGAGACUGGAAUUCUCGGUGUAGCAGUGAAAUGCGUAGAUAUCAGGAGGAACACCGGUGGUGUAGACGGCUUACUGGACCAUAACUGACGCUGAGACACGAAAGCGUGGGUAGCAAACAGG
Molecule: ribosomal RNA, 253 nt
Filed under: uncultured bacterium
Lineage: Bacteria
Description: partial 16S ribosomal RNA
Rfam family: Bacterial small subunit ribosomal RNA
Source: RNAcentral